CCUACGGGUGGCAGCAGUGAGGAAUAUUGGUCAAUGGACGAAAGUCUGAACCAGCCAUGCCGCGUGCAGGAAGACGGCCCUAUGAGUUGUAAACUGCUUUUGUACGAGGGUAAACGCAGAUACGCGUAUCUGUCUGAAAGUAUCGUACGACUAAGGAUCGGCUAACUCCGUGCCAGCAGCCGCGGUAAUACGGAGGAUUCAAGCGUUAUCCGGAUUUAUUGGGUUUAAAGGGUGCGUAGGCGGUCGGAUACGUUAGCGGUGAAAUCCCGAGGCUCAACUUCGGAAUUGCAGCUGAUACUGGUCGGCUAGCGAGUAGUAGCGGUAGGCGGAAUGCGUGGUGUAGCGGUGAAAUGCUUAGAGAUCAUACAGAACACCGAUUGCGAAGGCAGCUUACCAAGCUACUUCUGACGUUGAGGCACGAAAGCGUGGGGAGCAAACAGGAUUAGAUACCCGGGUAGUC
RNAcentral lists this ribosomal RNA (460 nucleotides) under uncultured bacterium. Its description in RNAcentral is "partial 16S ribosomal RNA". It matches the Rfam family "Bacterial small subunit ribosomal RNA", at positions 338 to 795 of the family's 1533-position model. The record is from RNAcentral.